UAGCCUACGGGGGGCAGCAGUGGGGAAUAUUGGGCAAUGGGCGCAAGCCUGACCCAGCAACGCCGCGUGAAGGAGGAAGGCUUUCGGGUUGUAAACUCCCUUUAUUGAGGACGAAACAAAUGACGGUACUCAAUGAAUAAGCCACGGCUAACUACGUGCCAGCAGCCGCGGUAAUACGUAGGUGACAAGCGUUAUCCGGAUUUACUGGGUGUAAAGGGCGUGUAGGCGGGACUGCAAGUCAGAUGUGAAACCCAUGGGCUCAACCCAUGGCCUGCAUUUGAAAC
Molecule: ribosomal RNA, 284 nt
Filed under: uncultured bacterium
Lineage: Bacteria
Description: partial 16S ribosomal RNA
Rfam family: Bacterial small subunit ribosomal RNA
Source: RNAcentral